GAAAUCCGAGCGAGUCCUAAUGUUUCGUAUGCUAUAGCCUACGCCUUAUUCCGUGGCCCCAAGCCCCCGAACCCAAAUCGUCUAAAUGUUUUCUCGGACAUCCAAUGCGGCAAAAGGAACCAAAGUCACCGCCCGACCAUGACCAAAUUACAUUUUUUGGAUGUAUACGGCCAUAAAAUUCGAAAUCCGCGCGUGUCCUAAUUUUUCGUGUG
RNAcentral lists this long non-coding RNA (212 nucleotides) under Nicotiana benthamiana. RNAcentral's name for it is "long non-coding RNA (NBEN_LNC001647)". Lineage: Eukaryota; Viridiplantae; Streptophyta; Magnoliopsida; Solanales; Solanaceae. The record is from RNAcentral.